AGUGAACGCUGGCGGUAGGCCUAACACAUGCAAGUCGAACGGCAGCACAGUAAGAGCUUGCUCUUACGGGUGGCGAGUGGCGGACGGGCGAGGAAUACAUCGGAAUCUACUUUUUCGUGGGGGAUAACGUAGGGAAACUUACGCUAAUACCGCAUACGACCUACGGGUGAAAGCAGGGGAUCUUCGGACCUUGCGCGAUUGAAUGAGCCGAUGUCGGAUUAGCUAGUUGGCGGGGUAAAGGCCCACCAAGGCGACGAUCCGUAGCUGGUCUGAGAGGAUGAUCAGCCACACUGGAACUGAGACACGGUCCAGACUCCUAAGGGAGGCAGCAGUGGGGAAUAUUGGACAAUGGGCGCAAGCCUGAUCCAGCCAUACCGCGUGGGUGAAGAAGGCCUUCGGGUUGUAAAGCCCUUUUGUUGGGAAAGAAAAGCAGCAGGUUAAUACCCCGCUGUUCUGACGGUACCCAAAGAAUAAGCACCGGCUAACUUCGUG
This 492-nucleotide ribosomal RNA is filed under the name uncultured bacterium. RNAcentral's name for it is "partial 16S ribosomal RNA". It matches the Rfam family "Bacterial small subunit ribosomal RNA", at positions 29 to 507 of the family's 1533-position model. The record is from RNAcentral.